CUGAGAUUAAGAGUUGAAUGCUAAAUGACUGAGCCAUCCAGGUACCCUGGAGCAUGAAUCUGAUGUGGACCUUCCUCCACCUUCUCUUCCUGGAGCAAACUCUUCACCCCAGGCCUGCUCUCCUCUACAAAACAUACAGACAACACCAGGUCCUGGGUCCCUGGAGGACACCACCGAUACUGUGAGGUGAUGGUGAGGUGAUGGUGGCUGAUGCACAGGGGUAAAUGCAAGACGAUCAACACCUUCAUUCAUGAGGAUGUGGCCACGUUGGCAUAUUUCUGCAGAAUUCCACCUCUGCCCUCUACCUACAGCUGCUGUGUGCACAACAGUCACAAAGGUACUCACGAUGUCAGUGUGCUUUGCCGCAUAGGAACCAGACCCCUGCACUGCUAUUACCACCUUAGGCCCAUCCCUGUAGGCUGUGAGGACGGGGCACCUGUUCACCUGGAUGGCUAGAUACUCCUGCACCUCACACAGGAAGCUAAGUGACUUGCACCCCACACCUCCAAACGUUUGAGGCCCUGGCCAAAGACUUCCCUGUAAUGCUUCUCCCCUCGUAUAGGGAUCUCUCAUUGUAACCAUUCAUGCGCACUUCCUGCAUCUCUCUCCCAGCCUCUGCCCCCAAAUCACCACUCCACUGGACACGCCGGCCACGGUGUCAAUUUUUUUUGGUGCAAGACAAAAUGGUGAUGGAGGAGUUGGGGAGAGCCUGGGUAAUGGGCAUCUACUGUGGAAAAGCCUUGCUCUCUCUGAGUGGCUACACAGGCCCGGCUGGCCGGGCAGAUUUGCCCACAAGGUGCUCUGGUAACAACUCGCAGUGGCACUGGCCCUAGGCAGCCCUGAGUGGUCCGGCUCACAGGGUCUUUCUUCCCCACCUCAGCUCCCUUCUCCCCAGCGGGCUCCUGCGGAGGGGAUUAGGGACAACAUCCAACGGGGGAAGCCCGCUGCCUUUCCAGAAACAAAGCCCUGAAGCUGGGAAACAGCACUGGAAGGAGCCGCUACCUGGAGGAGAGAAGUGGUGAAGCAGGGACUCUGGCAGGUGCUCGCGGCCGCCUCAUUGGCCCGCAGGGGGCGCUGCGCCACCUGAAUCCGUUGGCCAAGCAGAGACCAGAAAUUUUUCCUGGGUUGAUGGGUUGGAAGUUUUGUGGUUACCAACACACGGCUGGGGGAUAACAGGUCAAGAAGCAGAAAAUUCAGCCGAUAUGAUUACAGUCCAACUUUCAAAGAACAGAUUUCUGAAUUUUAUCAUAACUUUCAUGCUCUCAUGCUCUUUAGUAUUGAAUUUACCACCUUCAGAUUUACAUUCCAGCACUGUAGAUAUGAAGGAAAGAAAAGAUUAAGUACAGAGCAGCUACUUAUGCUAUAAGCUUUACAGUUUCACUGUACUGGAAAAGAGUUUGUUUCAUUUUUUUAAAAAUUUUUAAUGUUCAUUUAUUUUUGACAGAGAGACAGAGAGCAAGUAGGAGAGGGGCAGAGAGAGAGGGAGACACAGAAUCCGAAGCAGGCUUCAGGCUCUAAGCUGUCAGCCCCCCCAAAGGGGGGCUGGAACCCACAAAUCAUGACCUGACCCCGUCAGGGUCAUGACCUGACGCGAAGUCAGAUGCCCAACAAACCGAGUCACCCAGGCGCCCCAGUUUGUUUAAUCCUGUAAUCCAUUGUAUACACACUUCAUUUCUUUUCUUUGUUUUUCUUUUUUUUAAAGUGCGCACCAUGCCCAAAGACCCCUGAGAUCAAGAGUUGCAUGCUUUAUCCUUGGAGCCACCCAGGUGGCCCUACACAAUCCAUUUCUGAAGGCAGUUUUUCUACCCACAAGAGGGAGAAUCUGUGGGUGACUUUCUUCUCUACCCUGUGACUCCACCAAAAUCAUGUCAAGGCUUUAAAUCAAAGGAAGGCACCUGACUCUAGGGCAGCCAUCCACGGACUGACAGGCUGGGUGCCCAUGAAAGAAACUGGUCUGGAGAUUUUACUGUCCUGGAAUAAGGCUGACAAAACUGGAUACUCUUAUUUUCAUUUCCCCCGUAAUUCCAGGAGCUGUGAUUGUAUUGUCUUCGUUUGUGACCUUUAGCACGUAGCCUAUUGCUUGCUAUAAGAGAGCUUUCAAUAAAUCUUUAAUGGGCCAUUGUAAUAGGUCCUGCUGGUGCUAAGGAUUUUUUGCAGAUUCUGUUUUCAGAAUGGGAAAGUUCCCUUCCCUUCUGCUCUCCGUUUCCACCUGUAAAUGGAUUGUGAAUUUUGUUGAAUAAUUUUUCUUCAUCUGAUGACACAGUCAUAUACUAUUUCCUUCCUAAUCAGUUAAUGGAGUGGAAUUGAAUAAAAUUUCUGGACAUAAGCAGCUCCAUUUUGAAGCUCUAUUUUCCUUGUCAACUAAUGAACUCUUGGACUGGGCCAGAAGCCACAAUGGUUUUACAAGCGGUUCCUCAUAAAAUUUCAAAUGAGCAUCUGGCAUUAGGAUCAUGUGAGGACAGGAAAGUUAAUUAAUACAUCCCAGUGACCGUUUCAUUUGAUAGCACCAAUAAAGUAAUCAGUAAGAUAGUAAUCAGAAGCGGUUCAAUCAAUUAGCACCAAAUUACCUGUUUUUUUUCUUCCUUCUCUUAUCUAAAGCAUGUAAUUACCCCUUCCUUCUUUCUCAUAAAAAACCCCCAGCUUUCCCCACCUGAGGGGGCACUUUUCUGGUUACCCUUAAAUCUAGUCCCACAUUGUAACUCUGAGACCCCAAAUAAAAGCCUUUGCUCUUC
Herpailurus yagouaroundi (jaguarundi) is the source of this 2732-nucleotide long non-coding RNA. RefSeq lists it as uncharacterized. The transcript is spliced from 2 exons. The record is from RefSeq and is a predicted model, not a curated record. NCBI's taxonomy places the organism in Eukaryota, Metazoa, Chordata, Mammalia, Carnivora, Felidae.